This 253-nucleotide ribosomal RNA is filed under the name uncultured bacterium. Its description in RNAcentral is "partial 16S ribosomal RNA". It matches the Rfam family "Bacterial small subunit ribosomal RNA", at positions 524 to 776 of the family's 1533-position model. The record is from RNAcentral.
UACGUAGGGGGCAAGCGUUGUCCGGAUUCAUUGGGCGUAAAGAGCGUGUAGGCGGCAAGGUAGGUCGGUUGUGAAAACUGGAGGCUCAACCUUCAGAGGUCGACCGAAACCAUCUGGCUAGAGUCCGGGAGAGGAGAGUGGAAUUCCUGGUGUAGCGGUGAAAUGCGCAGAUAUCAGGAAGAACACCCGUGGCGAAAGCGGCUCUCUGGAACGGUACUGACGCUGAGACGCGAAAGCGUGGGGAGCGAACAGG